Molecule: ribosomal RNA, 126 nt
Filed under: uncultured Glomus
Lineage: Eukaryota; Fungi; Glomeromycota; Glomeromycetes; Glomerales; Glomeraceae
Description: partial 18S ribosomal RNA
Source: RNAcentral
GAUGAUGCUAGUGAGCCUGAAUGAGUUCGAGACUGCACCAGUUCUGUCUUGAGAAGUUGUCAACUUGUCAUUUAGAGAAGUAAAGUCGUAACAAGGUUCCGUAGGUGACCUGCGGAAGGAUCAUUA